CCUAUUUGGCCUUUGUGGCUACGCUCGGGGGGCCUUUGGUCCCCGUCUGCACCCUUGUCUUUGCGCACUCAUGUUUCCUCGGUGGGCUUGCCUGCCGCUAGGACAACCUAAACUCUUGAAUUUUCAAUCAGCGUCUGAUAACAAUAAUAUUUA
Molecule: unclassified non-coding RNA, 153 nt
Filed under: uncultured Ascomycota
Lineage: Eukaryota; Fungi; Ascomycota
Description: sequence contains ITS1
Source: RNAcentral